This 494-nucleotide ribosomal RNA is filed under the name uncultured bacterium. RNAcentral describes it as "partial 16S ribosomal RNA". It matches the Rfam family "Bacterial small subunit ribosomal RNA", at positions 28 to 506 of the family's 1533-position model. The record is from RNAcentral.
GACGAACGCUGGCGGCGUGCCUAAUACAUGCAAGUAGAACGCUGAAGGAGGAGCUUGCUUCUCUGGAUGAGUUGCGAACGGGUGAGUAACGCGUAGGUAACCUGCCUGGUAGCGGGGGAUAACUAUUGGAAACGAUAGCUAAUACCGCAUAAUAGUAGAUGUUGCAUGACAUUUGCUUAAAAGGUGCAAUUGCAUCACUACCAGAUGGACCUGCGUUGUAUUAGCUAGUUGGUGGGGUAACGGCUCACCAAGGCGACGAUACAUAGCCGACCUGAGAGGGUGAUCGGCCACACUGGGACUGAGACACGGCCCAGACUCCUACGGGAGGCAGCAGUAGGGAAUCUUCGGCAAUGGACGGAAGUCUGACCGAGCAACGCCGCGUGAGUGAAGAAGGUUUUCGGAUCGUAAAGCUCUGUUGUAAGAGAAGAACGAGUGUGAGAGUGGAAAGUUCACACUGUGACGGUAUCUUACCAGAAAGGGACGGCUAACUACGU